GCCGUUUUGCCCGUGCAGCACUGGUGACGUCACGAGGUUGGUUGGUUGAAGAACCCAGGUACAUAGCUAGCUGUCAAGGUUAAGGAAAAGAGCUUGUUGCCGUCAAGAUUAUGGAUAAGGACGAAGUUUAAGGGGUUCCUAGAAACCCAAUGGCUUAUGCGUUCGAGCCGGUGAGGAGACGAGACAGAUUAACGCUACAAACUCCGAUUUGUACAGAGGAGCAGCCAGCGGUUCCCGUACAAGUGGAGGACAACACUAAGUUACCUGGUGCAGAUGCGGUCACUGCACUGCCGUGCCGACUGCAACCGAGUGGAUUUGCUGUCAGGAGGCAAACGUGGACCAUUUGCUCAGGGAUCUUCCCUGCAGAAACCUGAGCAGAACCUUUCAUAUGCUUUUCUAAGAGCGAGACGUUUUGGGGGUGUCCCUGCUCUUUCUAGGUGAGGUCCGUGCAGAAACCCUGCAACAGCCCGUCAACAGCAGAAAACCACAGAUCAGUAUGGACACUGGACUUUUUAACAGAACACAAACAGAGAGAGAUCAAGAAGAAAGAGCUUUCUUUACCUUCAUCCACACAAAAGCACAUUUGCUAUGAGCUAUAUAGCUAAUCUCACUGCGUAAGCCCCUCAUCAAGCUCAUUUGAGCCCCUGCAGUACCUAAAACAGCAAUCAGAGGCAGGUAAACACUACACUUUAGCCACACUAAUGAAGAAAACAAUUCUCUCAAAUGAGGCUAGAAUUAGAUUACAUACAGUAUGCUGUGCGAGAGAGUGUUUUUUCCUCUGAAAUUAGCUAAGCACUGCUACAAUUAAACAAGUAGCACACCUGGUGAUAAAUAGCCCCCAAAGACAUUAGAAGAGGUGAAAGGAGGGGAGGAACAGGGGGGCAUCUUCAGCUCGUGAGAAGUCCCUGAAUUGUGCUGGUUGAGUUGCAGCUGUGAGCGGCUUUACAGCGAUGCUGCUCAUUCCUCCCGCCUCAUUUAUCAUAGUCAGCGCUGAGGAGGAGGCUGGAGGCCAUGCUGGGUCUAUUGUAUUAGCAAACACACUCGUCAGAGCACAGCUCAUUGUCUGCUUUUUACACCCUCUUCCCCUCCGCAGUGUCCUUGCGCUCUAGUAAUGAGCGGCUAGUUGAGGUAGAGGUGUUAAAAGGCAGCCUAUUCCAUGUCA
Astyanax mexicanus (Mexican tetra) is the source of this 1162-nucleotide long non-coding RNA. RefSeq lists it as uncharacterized. Lineage: Eukaryota; Metazoa; Chordata; Actinopteri; Characiformes; Acestrorhamphidae. The transcript has 3 exons. The record is from RefSeq and is a predicted model, not a curated record.